AUGGGACUCGGGGCAAAGGACGGGAGCAGUGAGCUCCAGGGGUUCCAGCCCGGCGCGCAGGUUACCACGGACCGGCUGAUCAAGGACCUGCCCAACUACGACGCCGUGUUCCACAUCGGCGACCUCUCCUACGCCAAUGGCUUCCUCGCGCAGUGGGACCACUUCACCGCGCAGAUCGAGCCCGUCGCCUCCAAGGUCCCCUACAUGGUCGCCAGUGGCAACCACGAGCGGACGUACAUGGACACGGGCGGGUUCUACAACGGCAACGACUCGCACGGCGAGUGCGGCGUGCCGGCGGAGACCUACUUCUACGUGCCGGCGCCGGCGCACCGUGGCAAGUUCUGGUACGCCGCCGACUACGGCAUAUUCCGCUUCUGCGUGGGCGACACGGAGCACGACUGGCGGCCCGGGACGGAGCAGCACGCGUUCCUCGACGCCUGCUUCGCCGGCGCCGACCGGAAGCACCAGCCGUGGCUCGUCUUCCUGGCGCACCGCCCGCUCGGCUACUCCUCCAACGACUUCUACGCGCAGGAGGGCUCCUUCGCGGAGCCCAUGGGGCGCGCCCUGCAGCCGCUCUGGCAGCGCCACCGCGUCGACCUCGCCGUCUACGGCCACGUCCACAACUACGAGCGGAUGUGCCCCGUCUACGAGAACACGUGCACCGUCAAGGGCAAAGAUCGGCAGAGCAGCUACGCGGGGGCGAUGGGAGGGACCAUCCACGUCGUGGCCGGCACGGGAGGCGCCAGGCUGAGGAGCUACGCCGGCGGCGCGUGGCCGCAGUGGAGCGUGGCGAGGAACGAGAGCUUCGGGUACGUCAAGCUCGCCGCCAGCGACCACUCGUCCAUGCGGUUCGAGUUCAUCCACAGCGACGACGGCGCCGUGCACGACGCCUUCACCAUCACCAGGGACUACAAGGACAUCAUGGCCUGCGCCGUCGACAGCUGCGCGCCACACACCCUAGCCAACUAG
RNAcentral lists this ribosomal RNA (969 nucleotides) under Triticum aestivum (bread wheat). RNAcentral describes it as "partial small subunit ribosomal RNA". The record is from RNAcentral. Lineage: Eukaryota; Viridiplantae; Streptophyta; Magnoliopsida; Poales; Poaceae.